Molecule: ribosomal RNA, 486 nt
Filed under: uncultured bacterium
Lineage: Bacteria
Description: partial 16S ribosomal RNA
Rfam family: Bacterial small subunit ribosomal RNA
Source: RNAcentral
AUUGAACGCUGGCGGCAUGCCUUACACAUGCAAGUCGAACGGCAGCACGGGUGCUUGCACCUGGUGGCGAGUGGCGAACGGGUGAGUAAUACAUCGGAACAUGUCCUGUAGUGGGGGAUAGCCCGGCGAAAGCCGGAUUAAUACCGCAUACGAUCUACGGAUGAAAGCGGGGGACCUUCGGGCCUCGCGCUAUAGGGUUGGCCGAUGGCUGAUUAGCUAGUUGGUGGGGUAAAGGCCUACCAAGGCGACGAUCAGUAGCUGGUCUGAGAGGACGACCAGCCACAGGGGGACAGAGACACGCCCCGGACCCCGGAGGGAGGCAGGAGGGGGGAUUUUGGAACAAUGGGGGAAGGCCGGACCCACAAGGGCGGCGUGUGUGAAGAGGGCUUUGGGUUUGUAAAGCAUUUUUGCCGGAAAAGAACUCCUGGCCCCAAAUAGGGGGGGGGGAGAAGGGAACCGGAGAAAAAGGCCCCGGCAACCUACGGC